This 4165-nucleotide long non-coding RNA is filed under the name Homo sapiens (human). Its description in RNAcentral is "HSALNT0077131". Lineage: Eukaryota; Metazoa; Chordata; Mammalia; Primates; Hominidae. The record is from RNAcentral.
AGCAGUUGUUUUUGCAUCCACUUAAAGCAAGAGAAUUUUGAAGAGAGGAGAGAGAAGUGUUCUAGGGUCUGGGCCACAGCAGGAGAAAGAAAUUGUGGCAAAUGGAGUGAUGGUAGAAGAUCUGUUCCCUGCCUGGUUCCUUGAACUAGGUUCAAACCUAGGUACAGCAAGAAUGGAUUGAAGAAUACAGCUAACUGGAGUUUGCCAAGAAGGCAUAGGUCAUGGUACUUUUCUGGGAGAAGAGAUUUAUGGCAGUCUUUAUUUCUCAGGAGUUUCUGCUUUUACUCAGGUGAGGCUAUGCCCAGGCUGACUGGGGACUGGAGUAGAUGGAGGGGUCUCUUAUCCAAAGCUGUGGCAGAUGUUGAAAGCAGGGUAGCACCCCCAUUCUACCUCCAAGUGUGACAACCAGAAAUUUUUCCAGCCAAUGCCAAAUGUUUUCUGGGGCACAAAAAUCACCACCGGUUGAGAACCACUGGUUAUAUGAUUAGACGGAAAGAAAAAGAGAAAAAGAAAGAUGCCUGGCUAGGCCAAUUAGAGAUCUUAGAUAAUUACUAUAUGCAUGCAACAUUAGAUAGUUUUAUUUUCAUUAAACUUUUAAAUCUUUUAAAAUCUCUUACAGACCCUACUUUGAAGCUAGCUUGAUAUAAUGCUAAUGUGACCUUGAACGAUUUCUUUCUUCCUGAGUUUGCCUACUAGUAUAGCUUAAAGAUCCAAGUUACACUAUUACUCACUUAUAUCAUAGCCAGCAUUGCUUGAUCAGAUUAUCAGAUAGAUACAGUAUCACGGAGACAAAAUCCUUUCAUUAUGAUGUAAGAUAAAAAAUAUCUUUCAUUAACAACACACGUAAAGGAAGUACCCACUGGACCAACUCAGGUUAGAAGGGUACCAGACCAGAAGAUCAGAUCGUAGAAGUUACUGGAGAAAAAGAUCAGCGGACAGCACUCUUGAACUACAUGCCAGGCCUCUUCUUCCUGGAACUCUAAUGGAUUUAAAUGGCUUAAGAGACGGGAUGAAUUGUUGAAAAUGGUUCUUUCAAAAGACCUCACGGAAGGCCAAAGACAAGACUCACUGAGGCCAAGGUGAUCAACAAUAUCUAUAAGUUGACGCAUUCUAAUCAUGUGGCGAUCUUGACCUUGGGAGCUUGAUUUGUGGACCAGUGUCCCCAAGAAGAUGACCAUCAGACAGAUGACAAUCCUCUCCAUGUUGCCAGGACUGGAUCUCAUAAGUACCAACAGUAGAGCUAGACCUUGGUCUCGUUUUCACUUCAGCUUGACUGAGAACAGGUAUACGUGUGCAUGUGCUAAUGUGUGGGGGCAGGGAUUGAUGGAGUCAACGAAAUGUGCCCCAUCUGCAUCUUUGACAGGAAAAAGAGAGAAUGGGUGAAUUCCAAUUUUCAGCAUGAAUCAAGAAGGUCACCGAUGAAGUUUUUGAAUGCUGUGCUCCUAAUCUCAUUUUCCUGCUCCAGAGACUUCGGUGAAGGAUGAUGCAAACUGUGUUUCUUCAGCAUGUGAGCACCAUCAGCCAUGAGUGUGGCAGCUCCAGAAUGUCUAUACCAGAGUGGCUGAGAGUCAGCAACUUGGCUGGAAGCUACACUUGAAUAGCAAACAAACCACUUUUACUUAGUUUCCAUGUCUAUUUGGUACCUUGGAGUACAGUGAUGAGUUUUACUAGAUGUGGACUUUCCAGGAAUAUAGCCAAGGUCGUCACCAUGAAAGUAUGAAACUUUAGUCAUUUACCCAAGGGGAUUCAUGGACAUAUAUUAAGAAUUUUCUUUAAUGGACUGUGUUUAUAGAACACCUGGUCAGGACGGAAAUGAGGCCAGGGAACUAAAGGGGUAGAAGUCUGAAGAGGAAUGGUUUUGCAUGGGAAAACUGUGCCAGGUCUAAAACUGGGCUGAACACUAUUUGUCCCCAACUCUCUGGCCCGGUCCUCAUAGUUCUUUCUGUGAUCCCUGCGUGGUGAAUACUCCUUUUCUGCUUUCACUGGCUUUGGCCCCUCAUGGAUAGAAUUAGAUGUUCUGCAUGGCAAACUGUGGGAAGAGAGGCCUCCAGUGUUUAGAGUGAUAUUAUCAUGUGUACCACUACUAUUAUACAUACUAAAGGUAUUCAGACAGGUGGCUUGUCUCUGGGCUUUAUAUAGAUCUCUGUCAAGCUAGAAGAAAAAUGUCACUAAAAUAAUUCAAGACAAUUUUUGUACUUUCCAACGAUGUUCAGGUAACAGCUGAAAAUAUUCUCACUUAUUUGACUUGAGGAAGAAAAUUCGAACGAGGAAAAUCAUCAAGGAUUUGCUAAAGUCCCUUCUGUAAAAUCUUCCUUAAGGAAGUUUAAACACUCCUAUUCUCUCUUCUCUCAUUCUUUUGAACUCACUGCAUGUAUUGAUAUCACUGACUUGGUUUGUUUUCUAGAAUAUAUGUAAAAGUAAGAGUGUGUAUAUAUAACCCAUUAUGUACAUAACAAGAACAGUUCCUUCCAAUAUUCAAAUUUCAUGACUCUAGAUCACUACUGUGCAUUCUAAGAAGGUCAGGGACUCAUGGAGACCAAAGGGUCAAUCCUGGUCAUUGUUGUCUUACGAGAGAAAAACAAGAGCCUUCUCGGGCCCCGUGUUCUCUAGCUCUUGAUGUGGCCUCUUCGGUAUCACUGGCAGCCCCACAGUCUGGUGGUCAGUGUGUCGCAGCAGAGGGUCAUUCACCGAUGCUGCUUAUCCACAGCACCUUUUCUGUGGGGAAUGGGGGCCUCUAUUCUGCUAGUAGACUCAGGUGUGUCACUCUGUGAUACUCUUAAGACUGGGUUCAUUGAGGACAGGUCUCUUUGCUAACAUUCACACAAAGUCAUUGUUUGGAAGCACAGUCCUGCUUCUGAAAUGCUAGGUCUGGAGGAGUUCCAGCAGCAGCCACAUGGGCCCUCUCCUCAGAUCUUGGCUCCAACAUGGGAUACUCAGCAGUGAGGCUAGAGAUCAGAUGUCCUUCAUUCCUUGACCACUAAGCCUAGAGGAUGGAGAGAAAGAAGUGGAACAUCUGCACUCUUCAACCUGAGUCCACUCCAACUCCAUCCCACAAGGGAACUGCCUCCAUUGCUGAUGUUGGAUUAAACAGAACAGCCUGUGCAGUUAGUUCAUGGAUUCCAUAAAGGGACUGGACCUUAAUGAAGACGUUCCUGACAUGGGUUUGGGGAAGAAGAUAUUAUAAUUUUGCAAAUGAAGAAACUGAGAUACAGAAAUGACAUCCAGCACCCUCAGUGUCACACAGAGAGUAAAUGGACUGGCCUGAACCAGGCUGCCUCCUGGAACUGGUUUCUUUGGUUGGUUGAAUCCAUGGAUGGAGAACUCGUGGAUACAAGGGCUGACUAUAAUGAGAAGAUAUGAAAGCUGAAAAGACAAACAUUACUACAUAUUUACAUAUGUCCAAAGAAGAAGGUUCAUCUCCACGUGGACCUCCCUAUAGAGCUUCUUGAAUGGCCUCACAACAUGGCGGCUGGCUUCCCACAGAGUGAGCAAUCCAAGAGUUUGGGUUAAUACUGGAGUGACUUAAGACUUUGGGGGACUGUUGGUUCCUUGAUUCAGAGAAAGAAGAUAAAAACACAUACAAAGAGACGGCACCAGCUCCUUUCCCAGUUGUGACCAGAUUGCACGAUACCCAAGCCAUGGCUCCAAAGAGUGCGUGUACUGAAGCCUGGCCAUUCAUGACAGACUCAUUUCCACACCUGAGUCCGGUUUUGCUCUGUGAGUGUUGGGCUUUCUCCAAGGGAAUGGUUGGAGCUGUUGCGAGCGAACUUCCUGGCUGCCACAGAGUUGAUUGGAUUCCUUGGAAAUGCACACUCACAGGCUGCUGCUCUUUGAAGCUGUCUCCUUCACUGGCCAUGAUUCUCCUGUCUCAUUAGCUGUUGCCUAUGACCCUGGUGUCGUUUUCUCCUUUUACUCAUCAACACCCAAAUCCACAGGGUUGUGAUGGAUUAGCAGCCUUUCUUAUUAGCAAGAAGCCCUGUGGCCUCAAGAGGCAAAAUGAAUCGUGGUUAGAAAUCUCCAUCUCCUCCCUCCCUUGGUAUAAUGCCAUCAUUUAACUAUCUGAAAAUAGAGAAGACUCCGUUCCAAUUGUAAAGCCCUAAGGAGAAAAACUGAGUUUGAAACUUUCCUUAAUUAUGCUGAUAUUUAACAAUAAACUUUGUAGUAU